GCGACACUAGCUCAGUUGGUAGAGCGCAACCUUGCCAAGGUUGAGGUCGAGAGUUCGAACCUCGUGUGUCGCUCCA
This 76-nucleotide transfer RNA is filed under the name Vibrio parahaemolyticus. RNAcentral describes it as "tRNA-Gly". It matches the Rfam family "tRNA". From Rfam's summary of the family: Transfer RNA (tRNA) molecules are approximately 80 nucleotides in length. Their secondary structure includes four short double-helical elements and three loops (D, anti-codon, and T loops). Further hydrogen bonds mediate the characteristic L-shaped molecular structure. tRNAs have two regions of fundamental functional importance: the anti-codon, which is responsible for specific mRNA codon recognition, and the 3' end, to which the tRNAs corresponding amino acid is attached (by aminoacyl-tRNA synthetases). tRNAs cope with the degeneracy of the genetic code in two manners: having more than one tRNA (with a specific anti-codon) for a particular amino acid; and 'wobble' base-pairing, i.e. permitting non-standard base-pairing at the 3rd anti-codon position. The record is from RNAcentral. Lineage: Bacteria; Pseudomonadati; Pseudomonadota; Gammaproteobacteria; Vibrionales; Vibrionaceae.